RNAcentral lists this ribosomal RNA (426 nucleotides) under uncultured prokaryote. RNAcentral's name for it is "bacterial SSU rRNA". It matches the Rfam family "Bacterial small subunit ribosomal RNA", at positions 355 to 796 of the family's 1533-position model. The record is from RNAcentral.
UGGGGAAUUUUCCGCAAUGGGCGAGAGCCUGACGGAGCAACGCCGCGUGAGGGAGGACGGCCUGUGGGUUGUAAACCUCUUUUCUCAAGGAAGAAGCUCUGACGGUACUUGAGGAAUCAGCAUCGGCUAACUCCGUGCCAGCAGCCGCGGUAAGACGGAGGAUGCAAGCGUUAUCCGGAAUUAUUGGGCGUAAAGCGUCCGUAGGUGGUUAGGAAAGUCUGCUGUUAAAGGUCGCAGCUCAACUGCGGAUCGGCAGUGGAAACUGUUUAACUAGAAUGUGGAAGGGGUAGAGGGAAUUCCUAGUGUAGCGGUGAAAUGCGUAGAUAUUAGGAAGAACACCAGUGGCGAAGGCGCUCUACUGGGCCACAACUGACACUGAUGGACGAAAGCUAGGGGAGCGAAAGGGAUUAGAUACCCCUGUAGUCC